UACGAAGGGGACUAGCGUUGUUCGGAAUUACUGGGCGCAAAGCGCACGUAGGCGGAUUCGUAAGUCAGGGGUGAAAUCCCGGGGCUCAACCUCGGAACUGCCUUUGAUACUGCGGAUCUCGAGUCCGAUAGAGGUGGGUGGAAUUCCUAGUGUAGAGGUGAAAUCGUAGAUAUUAGGAAGAACACCGGUGGCGAAGGCGGCCCACUGGAUCGGUACUGACGCUGAGGUGCGAAAGCGUGGGGAGCAACAGG
Molecule: ribosomal RNA, 251 nt
Filed under: uncultured bacterium
Lineage: Bacteria
Description: partial 16S ribosomal RNA
Rfam family: Bacterial small subunit ribosomal RNA
Source: RNAcentral